RNAcentral lists this transfer RNA (58 nucleotides) under Salmo salar (Atlantic salmon). It matches the Rfam family "tRNA", at positions 8 to 63 of the family's 71-position model. Rfam says of the family: Transfer RNA (tRNA) molecules are approximately 80 nucleotides in length. Their secondary structure includes four short double-helical elements and three loops (D, anti-codon, and T loops). Further hydrogen bonds mediate the characteristic L-shaped molecular structure. tRNAs have two regions of fundamental functional importance: the anti-codon, which is responsible for specific mRNA codon recognition, and the 3' end, to which the tRNAs corresponding amino acid is attached (by aminoacyl-tRNA synthetases). tRNAs cope with the degeneracy of the genetic code in two manners: having more than one tRNA (with a specific anti-codon) for a particular amino acid; and 'wobble' base-pairing, i.e. permitting non-standard base-pairing at the 3rd anti-codon position. Lineage: Eukaryota; Metazoa; Chordata; Actinopteri; Salmoniformes; Salmonidae. The record is from Rfam by way of RNAcentral. RNAcentral also lists the same sequence under 1 other name.
UGGCUCAGUUGGUAGAGCAUGGUGUUUGCAACGCCAGGGUUGUGGGUUCGAUUCGCAC